Molecule: ribosomal RNA, 300 nt
Filed under: uncultured Halobacterium sp.
Lineage: Archaea; Methanobacteriati; Methanobacteriota; Halobacteria; Halobacteriales; Halobacteriaceae
Description: bacterial SSU rRNA
Rfam family: Bacterial small subunit ribosomal RNA
Source: RNAcentral
GGUAACUUGGGGCCAGCGGGCGCGGUAAUACGGAGGGUGCAAGCGUUAAGCGGAAUGACUGGGCGUAAAGCGUGCGUAGGCGGUUCUUUAAGUCGGCGGUGAAAUCCCCGGGCUCAACCUGGGAAUGGCAUUGGAUACUGGAGAGCUAGAGUGUGAUAGAGGAUGGUGGAAUGCCCGGUGUAGCGGUGAAAUGCGUAGAGAUCGGGAGGAACAUCAGUGGCGAAGGCGGCCAUCUGGAUCAACACUGACGCUGAGGCACGAAAGCGUGGGGAGCAAACAGGAUUAGAUACCCCAGUAGUC